GAUGAAGAACGUAGCGAAGUGCGAUAAGUAAUGUGAAUUGCAGAAUUCCGUGAAUCAUCGAAUCUUUGAACGCAAAUUGCUCUUCCUGGCAUCCCGGGAAGUAUGCCUGUUUGAGGGUCAGUGUUAAUAAAAAUCGGUUCGUUUCGAAUUUUUUUGUGACGUUCCGGAGUUUGGGUUAUCUUAACUUUUUUGGUUAAGAGGCUUAAAAUUGACCUUUUUUUGCGCAUUUUUUAGACGUACAUAAAUUUUUUUUUUAUUCGUCUAUUCUUAAUGCAAAAAUCUUAUUAGAUGCGACCAUAUCGUGUGGUUUCGUGUCCAUAAAUUUUUCAUGAUUUGACCUCAAAUCAGGUAAGAGUACCCGCUGAACUUAAGCAUAUCAAUAAGCGGAGGA
Molecule: unclassified non-coding RNA, 391 nt
Filed under: soil metagenome
Description: partial contains 5.8S ribosomal RNA, internal transcribed spacer 2, and large subunit ribosomal RNA
Rfam family: 5.8S ribosomal RNA (bases 1-120)
Source: RNAcentral